RNAcentral lists this ribosomal RNA (423 nucleotides) under uncultured bacterium. RNAcentral describes it as "partial 16S ribosomal RNA". It matches the Rfam family "Bacterial small subunit ribosomal RNA", at positions 359 to 774 of the family's 1533-position model. The record is from RNAcentral.
GAAUUUUUGACAAUGGGCGAAAGCCUGAUCCAUCAAUGCCGCGUGCAGGAUGAAUGCCUUCGGGUUUUCAACUGCUUUUGUACGCAACGAAAAGCUUUGGGUUAAUACCCUGGAGUCAUGCUGGUACCGCAUGAUUUAGCUCCGCCUCACUACGUGCCAUCAGCCGCGGUAAUACGUAGGGUGCACGCGUUAAUCGGAAUUACUGGGCGUAAAGCGUGCGCAGGCGGUUUUGUAAGACAGAGGUGAAAGCCCCGGGCUCAACCUGGGAACUGCCUUUGUGACUGCAAGGCUAGAGUACGGCAGAGGGGGGUGGAAUUCCGCGUGUAGCAGUGAAAUGCGUAGAUAUGCGGAGGAACACCGAUGGCGAAGGCAACCCCCUGGGCCUGUACUGACGCUCAUGCACGAAAGCGUGGGGAGCAAACA